Molecule: ribosomal RNA, 499 nt
Filed under: Cuscuta colombiana
Lineage: Eukaryota; Viridiplantae; Streptophyta; Magnoliopsida; Solanales; Convolvulaceae
Description: eukaryotic LSU rRNA
Rfam family: Eukaryotic large subunit ribosomal RNA
Source: RNAcentral
AUGGAGACCGGCGAUGUGCCCAGGUCGGAUGUGGAACGGCGGUUAGCCGGUCUGCUGAUAGGCUCUGGGCGUGGUWCAACGAGGAUUUGGGUGGCGGUUGAAGCUUGGGCAUUUUGAUACGCCCAGGGGAUGCCGGCUCCCAGAUCGUGGGAAGUAGCGCGCGCCCUUGGCGUGCUUCGGCACCUGCGUUCUCCGGUCGUUGACUUGUGGGCUCUCCAUUCGACCCGUCUUGAAACACGGACCAAGGAGUCUUACAUGUGUGCGAGUCAGCGGGUUGAUAAACCCGUAAGGCGUAAGGAAGCUGAUUGGCGGGAACCCCUGGGGGUGCACCGUCGACUGACCUUGAUCUUUUGAGAAGGGUUCGAGUGUGAGCAUACCUGUCGGGACCCGAAAGAUGGUGAACUAUGCCUGAGCGGGGUGAAGCCAGAGGAAACUCUGGUGGAGGUCCGCAGCGAUACUGACGUGCAAAUCGUUCGUAUGACUUGGGUAUAGGGGCGAA